This 1398-nucleotide ribosomal RNA is filed under the name uncultured bacterium. RNAcentral describes it as "16S ribosomal RNA". It matches the Rfam family "Bacterial small subunit ribosomal RNA". The record is from RNAcentral.
AGAGUUUGAUCCUGGCUCAGGAUGAACGCUAGCGACAGGCUUAACACAUGCAAGUCGAGGGGCAGCAUUAAGGUAGCUUGCUACUUUAGAUGGCGACCGGCGCACGGGUGCGUAACACGUAUGCAACCUGCCCGUCAUUGUGGAAUAACCCGGAGAAAUCCGGCCUAAUACCGCAUGAUACUGAGAAGAGGCAUCUCUUUUCAUUUAAAGAAUUUCGAUGACGGAUGGGCAUGCGGAUGAUUAGCUAGUCGGCGGGGUAACGGCCCACCGAGGCGACGAUCAUUAGGGGUUCUGAGAGGAAGGUCCCCCACACUGGUACUGAGACACGGACCAGACUCCUACGGGAGGCAGCAGUGAGGAAUAUUGGUCAAUGGGCGCAAGCCUGAACCAGCCAAGUCGCGUGAAGGAAGACUGCCCUAUGGGUUGUAAACUUCUUUCGCAUGGGAAUAAAGUGAGCCACGUGUGGCUUUUUGUAUGUACCAUGCGAAUAAGCAUCGGCUAACUCCGUGCCAGCAGCCGCGGUAAUACGGAGGAUGCGAGCGUUAUCCGGAUUUAUUGGGUUUAAAGGGUGCGUAGGCGGAACGCCAAGUCAGCGGUGAAACGCAGGGGCUCAACCCCUGACCUGCCGUUGAAACUGGCGAUCUGGAAUGCGGAUGCUGUGGGAGGAAUGUGUGGUGUAGCGGUGAAAUGCAUAGAUAUCACACAGAACACCGAUUGCGAAGGCAUCUCACAAAUCCGUUAUUGACGCUGAGGCACGAAAGUGUGGGGAUCAAACAGGAUUAGAUACCCUGGUAGUCCACACUGUAAACGAUGAUAACUCGCUGUCGGCGAUAUACAGUCGGUGGCCAAGCGAAAGCGAUAAGUUAUCCACCUGGGGAGUACGACCGCAAGGUUGAAACUCAAAGGAAUUGACGGGGGCCCGCACAAGCGGAGGAACAUGUGGUUUAAUUCGAUGAUACGCGAGGAACCUUACCCGGGCUCGAACGGCUGGUGAAGAGAUACAGAGAUGUUGACGUCCUACGGGACACCAGUCGAGGUGCUGCAUGGUUGUCGUCAGCUCGUGCCGUGAGGUGUCGGCUUAAGUGCCAUAACGAGCGCAACCCUUGUCGUCAGUUACCAUCAAGUGAAGUUGGGGACUCUGGCGAGACUGCCACCGUAAGGUGAGAGGAAGGGGGGGAUGACGUCAAAUCAGCACGGCCCUUACGUCCGGGGCGACACACGUGUUACAAUGGUGGGUACAGAGGGCAGCUACCUGGCGACAGGGUGCAAAUCCCGAAAACCCAUCUCAGUUCGGAUUGGAGUCUGCAACUCGACUCCAUGAAGUUGGAUUCGCUAGUAAUCGCGCAUCAGCCAUGGCGCGGUGAAUACGUUCCCGGGCCUUGCACACACCGCCCGUCA